CCUACGGGAGGCAGCAGUGGGGAAUUUUGGACAAUGGGCGCAAGCCUGAUCCAGCCAUGCCGCGUGUGGGAAGAAGGCCUUCGGGUUGUAAACCACUUUUGUCAGGGAAGAAACGGUCUUUUCUAAUACAGAGGGCUAAUGACGGUACCUGAAGAAUAAGCACCGGCUAACUACGUGCCAGCAGCCGCGGUAAUACGUAGGGUGCAAGCGUUAAUCGGAAUUACUGGGCGUAAAGCGUGCGCAGGCGGCUUUGCAAGACAGGUGUGAAAUCCCCGGGCUCAACCUGGGAACUGCAUUUGUGACUGCAUGGCUAGAGUACGGUAGAGGGGGAUGGAAUUCCGCGUGUAGCAGUGAAAUGCGUAGAUAUGCGGAGGAACACCGAUGGCGAAGGCAAUCCCCUGGACCUGUACUGACGCUCAUGCACGAAAGCGUGGGGAGCAAACAGGAUUAGAUACCCUGGUAGUCCACGCCCUAAACGAUGUCAACUGGUUGUUGGACGGCUUGCUGUUCAGUAACGAAGCUAACGCGUGAAGUUGACCGCCUGGGGAGUACGGCCGCAAGGUUGAAACUUAAAGGAAUUGACGGCUGAGACGNGCGAGACGACACGAGGGAGGAGG
RNAcentral lists this ribosomal RNA (617 nucleotides) under uncultured bacterium. RNAcentral describes it as "bacterial SSU rRNA". It matches the Rfam family "Bacterial small subunit ribosomal RNA", at positions 338 to 951 of the family's 1533-position model. The record is from RNAcentral.